This is a long non-coding RNA of Cercocebus atys (sooty mangabey), 407 nucleotides long. RefSeq lists it as uncharacterized. NCBI's taxonomy places the organism in Eukaryota, Metazoa, Chordata, Mammalia, Primates, Cercopithecidae. The transcript has 4 exons. The record is from RefSeq and is a predicted model, not a curated record.
GCCAUGUGGUGGCUGCCAGAGAGAGAAGAGGUGUCAGCAAUUCAAGACUGUGUCUCCUUACUAUCUUCAGUGCCUCCUUCCUUCAUAUGAUGUUAAAACCAGGUUCCAUUAAGUCAAGUUUGAUAACUGCAGUAUUCAAUACUUCCUUGUCUUUGGUAUGUUUUCAUCAGAGAGAGGAAUGGAGUCUUGCCAUGGUGCCCCAGCUGGCUUUGAACUUCUGGGCUCAAACAAUCCUCCUGCCUCAGCCUCCCAGAAUUAUCAAUAUUGAAAGCCAGUUACUGAUGAUAACAUAGAGGGUUGUGUGGAACUGUUAUAGAACUCUGACUGGACUGAGGCAAAAUCUUUAAGCAAAAUUAUUUUAGCGCUGUGCUUGGUGCUUUUCCUUAAUAUUUCACAUCGUCUGAAAA